This 442-nucleotide ribosomal RNA is filed under the name uncultured bacterium. RNAcentral's name for it is "partial 16S ribosomal RNA". It matches the Rfam family "Bacterial small subunit ribosomal RNA", at positions 338 to 795 of the family's 1533-position model. The record is from RNAcentral.
CCUACGGGAGGCAGCAGUGGGGAAUAUUGGGCAAUGGGCGAAAGCCUGACCCAGCAACGCCGCGUGAAGGAAGAAGGCUUUCGGGUUGUAAACUUCUUUUGACAGGGAAGAGCAGAAGACGGUACCUGUCGAAUAAGCCACGGCUAACUACGUGCCAGCAGCCGCGGUAAUACGUAGGUGGCAAGCGUUGUCCGGAUUUACUGGGGGUAAAGGGCGUGUAGCCGGGCUGACAAGUCAGAUGUGAAAUCCGGGGGCUCAACCCCCGAACUGCAUUUGAAACUGUUGGUCUUGAGUAUCGGAGAGGCAGGCGGAAUUCCUAGUGUAGCGGUGAAAUGCGUAGAUAUUAGGAGGAACACCAGUGGCGAAGGCGACUUUCUGGACAGUAACUGACGUUGAGGCACGAAAGUGUGGGGAGCAAACAGGAUUAGAUACCCGUGUAGUC